Molecule: ribosomal RNA, 490 nt
Filed under: uncultured bacterium
Lineage: Bacteria
Description: partial 16S ribosomal RNA
Rfam family: Bacterial small subunit ribosomal RNA
Source: RNAcentral
AUUGAACGCUGGCGGCAGGCCUAACACAUGCAAGUCGAACGGUAACAGGAAGCAGCUUGCUGCUUCGCUGACGAGUGGCGGACGGGUGAGUAAUGUCUGGGAAGCUGCCUGAUGGAGGGGGAUAACUACUGGAAACGGUAGCUAAUACCGCAUAAUGUCGCAAGACCAAAGAGGGGGACCUUCGGGCCUCUUGCCAUCGGAUGUGCCCAGAUGGGAUUAGCUUGUUGGGGGGGUAACGGCUCACCAAGGCGACGAUCCCUAGCUGGUCUGAGAGGAUGACAGGCCACACUAGGACUGGGACACGGUCCAGACUCCUACGGGAGGCAGCAGUGGGGAAUAUUGCACAAUGGGCGCAAGCCUGAUGCAGCCAUGCCGCGUGUAUGAAGAAGGCCUUCGGGUUGUAAAGUACUUUCAGCGGGGAGGAAGGGAGUAAAGUUAAUACCUUUGCUCAUUGACGUUACCCGCAGAAGAAGCACCGGCUAACUCCGUG